RNAcentral lists this unclassified non-coding RNA (79 nucleotides) under Kaistella antarctica. RNAcentral's name for it is "Chryseobacterium antarcticum Flavo-1 RNA". Lineage: Bacteria; Pseudomonadati; Bacteroidota; Flavobacteriia; Flavobacteriales; Weeksellaceae. The record is from RNAcentral.
UCUCCGCCCCGACUUGAGUGGAGCUCUUUUUGCGCAACGAAGUGAAGCAAAAAAGCGGGAACGGAAGGCGGAUUAAGGC